AUGACUUUCUGGACUAUAGAGCCCUACAGUAAUCGCAUCGUAAGCCAAUAAACUUUGAAUCCGGUUGUACUACAAACCGAAUACGUUGUGUUCAACUGCUAGUAUAGGAUACCCUCUCUUCGAGACUUCAUACACACCCCUUUUCUAUUGAUCAUUUGGUUGCUUACAACGAUGUCAACUGAGAUCAAGUGCUGAAGUUUGUGUCUUUCUGGGUUACAAUCUUGUCUCUUGGUCUUCUAAGCGUUAGCAUAUCGUCUCGAGAUCAAGUGCUAAAGCUGAAUAUCGUGAUGUUGCCAACGCUUUUGCCGAAGCGGUUUGCAUUUGUAAUCUUCUUCUUAAGUUACAUUGUUUAGUGUCUUGAGCCACUCUCGUGUUUUGUGAUAAUGUCAACGUUGUAUAUUUAGCGCCUAACCCUGUUAAGCACCAACACACCAAACAUGUGGAAUAAGAUAUACCCUUCUUAAGGGAACGUGCUGCCAUUGGUCAAGUGCGUGUGUUACAUGAACCCUCAGCUCACUAGUUUGCAGAUAUCUUCACCAAAGGCUAACUAUGAUAGUUGUUUAUGGAUUUUCAAGAUAUCUUAACAUUCAGGAACCCCCACUCAGACUGCAGGUGGUAUGUUAGCUAAAUUAAAUAAGCUUAUGGUUAUUUUACAAUGUUUAUUCCUGUAGGGUGGUUUGUGUAAUUAUGUAACCUUAAUUCUUGUACUCUCUAAUUAUAAAUACCGGUGAAUGCAAAGCUUAAAUAAUUC
This 751-nucleotide long non-coding RNA is filed under the name Helianthus annuus (common sunflower). The record is from RNAcentral. Lineage: Eukaryota; Viridiplantae; Streptophyta; Magnoliopsida; Asterales; Asteraceae.